Molecule: ribosomal RNA, 301 nt
Filed under: uncultured bacterium
Lineage: Bacteria
Description: partial 16S ribosomal RNA
Rfam family: Bacterial small subunit ribosomal RNA
Source: RNAcentral
CAGUAGCCACGGUAAUACGAAGGGUGCAAGCGUUAAUCGGAAUUACUGGGCGUAAAGCGUGCGUAGGCGGUUUGUUAAGUCUGUUGUGAAAUCCCCGGGCUCAACCUGGGAAUGGCAAUGGAUACUGGCAAGCUAGAGUGUGUCAGAGGAUGGUGGAAUUCCCGGUGUAGCGGUGAGAUGCGUAGAGAUCGGGAGGAACAUCAGUGGCGAAGGCGGCCAUCUGGGACAACACUGACGCUGAGGCACGAAAGCGUGGGGAGCAAACAGGAUUAGAUACCCCAGUAGUCCCUGUCUCUUAUAC